CGUCAAAUCAGCACGGCCCUUACGUCCGGGGCGACACACGUGUUACAAUGGGUGGUACAGAGGGAAGCUACUAUGUGAAUAGGUGCCAAUCUCGAAAGCCAUUCUCAGUUCGGAUUGGAGUCUGCAACUCGACUCCAUGAAGUUGGAUUCGCUAGUAAUCGCGCAUCAGCCAUGGCGCGGUGAAUACGUUCCCGGGCCUU
This 200-nucleotide ribosomal RNA is filed under the name uncultured prokaryote. RNAcentral's name for it is "partial 16S ribosomal RNA". It matches the Rfam family "Bacterial small subunit ribosomal RNA", at positions 1183 to 1382 of the family's 1533-position model. The record is from RNAcentral.